RNAcentral lists this transfer RNA (77 nucleotides) under Kiritimatiellia bacterium. RNAcentral's name for it is "Kiritimatiellae bacterium (gut metagenome) tRNA-Arg". It matches the Rfam family "tRNA". From Rfam's summary of the family: Transfer RNA (tRNA) molecules are approximately 80 nucleotides in length. Lineage: Bacteria; Pseudomonadati; Kiritimatiellota; Kiritimatiellia. The record is from RNAcentral.
GUCCCUGUAGCUCAUCUGGACAGAGCAGCUGCCUUCUAAGCAGCGGGUAGCAGGUUCGAGUCCUGUCAGGGGCACCA